CCUGGCUCAGGAUGAACGCUAGCGGCAGGCUUAACACAUGCAAGUCGAGGGGCAUCGGGAGUAGCAAGUACUUGCCGGCGACCGGCGCAAGGGUGCGUAACGCGUGAGCAACAUGCCCGUAUCAGGGGGAUAAUCCAUGGAAACGUGGUCUAAUACCCCAUAGUAAUUAUGUAAGGCAUCUUAUAUAAUUUAAAGCUUUGGUGGAUACGGAUUGGCUCGCGUGACAUUAGCUGGAUGGUAAGGUAACGGCUUACCAUGGCUACGAUGUCUAGGGGUUCUGAGAGGAAGGUCCCCCCACACUGGAACUGAGACACGGUCCAGACUCCUACGGGAGGCAGCAGUGAGGAAUAUUGGACAAUGGAUGGAAAUCUGAUCCAGCCAUGCCGCGUGCAGGAAAGACGGCCCUAUGGGUUGUAAACUGCUUUUGUAUGGGAGCAAUAAGGGCUACGUGUAGUCCGAUGAGAGUACCAUACGAAUAAGCACCGGCUAACUCCGUGCCAGCCGCUGC
RNAcentral lists this ribosomal RNA (508 nucleotides) under uncultured bacterium. Its description in RNAcentral is "bacterial SSU rRNA". It matches the Rfam family "Bacterial small subunit ribosomal RNA", at positions 18 to 518 of the family's 1533-position model. The record is from RNAcentral.